UUACCUACUCUUGACAUCCAGAGAACUUUCCAGAGAUGGAUUGGUGCCUUCGGGAACUUUGAGACAGGUGCUGCAUGGCUGUCGUCAGCUCGUGUUGUGAAAUGUUGGGUUAAGUCCCGCAACGAGCGCAACCCUUAUCCUUUGUUGCCAGCGGUUCGGCCGGGAACUCAAAGGAGACUGCCAGUGAUAAACUGGAGGAAGGUGGGGAUGACGUCAAGUCAUCAUGGCCCUUACGAGUAGGGCUACACACGUGCUACAAUGGCGUAUACAAAGAGAAGCGACCUCGCGAGAGCAAGCGGACCUCAUAAAGUACGUCGUAGUCCGGAUUGGAGUCUGCAACUCGACUCCAUGAAGUCGGAAUCGCUAGUAAUCGUA
This 375-nucleotide ribosomal RNA is filed under the name Serratia marcescens. Its description in RNAcentral is "bacterial SSU rRNA". It matches the Rfam family "Bacterial small subunit ribosomal RNA", at positions 971 to 1346 of the family's 1533-position model. The record is from RNAcentral. Lineage: Bacteria; Pseudomonadati; Pseudomonadota; Gammaproteobacteria; Enterobacterales; Yersiniaceae.